This 420-nucleotide ribosomal RNA is filed under the name Rhinella sp. Pacaas ABGD cluster 17. RNAcentral's name for it is "partial large subunit ribosomal RNA". It matches the Rfam family "Bacterial large subunit ribosomal RNA", at positions 1835 to 2457 of the family's 2925-position model. Lineage: Eukaryota; Metazoa; Chordata; Amphibia; Anura; Bufonidae. RNAcentral also lists the same sequence under 1 other name. The record is from RNAcentral.
CUUGAACUUUAUAAGAGGUCCAGCCUGCCCAGUGACUUUGUUCAACGGCCGCGGUAUCCUAACCGUGCGAAGGUAGCGUAAUCACUUGUUCUUUAAAUGCGGACUAGUAUGAAUGGCACUACGAGGGUUAUACUGUCUCCUUUUUCUAAUCAGUGAAACUAAUUUUCCCGUGAAGAAGCGGGGAUAUAAUUAUAAGACGAGAAGACCCUAUGGAGCUUUAAACAACCCAGCAAUUACUUCUAAAAUUAUAAAUCUCAGAAUAUUCAUUUUUAAGCAAUAUGUCUGCAAGUUUUUGGUUGGGGUGACCAUGGAGAAUAACACAACCUCCAUGUUGAAUGAAUUUCCGUUCUAAGCUAAAAAUCACUAAUUGAAGCAUCAACACACUGACAUCUAUUGACCCAAUAUAUUUGAUCAACGAAC